GAUGAACGCUGGCGGUAUGCCUAACACAUGCAAGUCGUACGAGAGUUUUUAACCUCUAGUGGCGGACGGGUGAGUAACACGUGAGAAUUUGCCUUUAGGAGGGGGAUAACAAUCGGAAACGAAUGCGUAAUACCGGAUGAUGUCUUCGGACCAAAGAUUUAUCGCCUUUAGAUGGGCCCGCGUUGGAUUAGCUAGUUGGUGGGGUAAAGGCCUACCAAGGCGACGAUCCAUAGCUGGUCUGAGAGGAUGAUCAGCCACACUGGGACUGAGACACGGCCCCAGACUCCUACGGGAGGCAGCAGUGGGGAAUAUUGGACAAUGGGCGAAAGCCUGAUCCAGCAAUGCCGCGUGAGUGAUGAAGGCCUUAGGGUUGUAAAGCUCUUUUACCCGAGAUGAUAAUGACAGUAUCGGGAGAAUAAGACUCCGGCUAACUCCGUGCCAGCA
Molecule: ribosomal RNA, 444 nt
Filed under: uncultured bacterium
Lineage: Bacteria
Description: bacterial SSU rRNA
Rfam family: Bacterial small subunit ribosomal RNA
Source: RNAcentral